This 400-nucleotide ribosomal RNA is filed under the name uncultured Acholeplasma sp. RNAcentral's name for it is "bacterial SSU rRNA". It matches the Rfam family "Bacterial small subunit ribosomal RNA", at positions 976 to 1382 of the family's 1533-position model. The record is from RNAcentral. Lineage: Bacteria; Bacillati; Mycoplasmatota; Mollicutes; Acholeplasmatales; Acholeplasmataceae.
AGGUCUUGACAUCCCCUGCAAAGCUAUGGAGACAUAGUGGAGGUUAUCAGGGAGACAGGUGGUGCAUGGUUGUCGUCAGCUCGUGUCGUGAGAUGUUGGGUUAAGUCCCGCAACGAGCGCAACCCUUAUUGCUAGUUACCAUCAUUGAUUGGGGACUCUAGCGAGACUGCCAGUGAUAAACUGGAGGAAGGUGGGGAUGACGUCAAAUCAUCAUGCCCCUUAUGACCUGGGCUACAAACGUGAUACAAUGGCUGAAACAAAGGGCAGCGAAGCAGUGAUGUGGAGCGAAACCCAAAAAAGCAGUCUCAGUUCGGAUUGAAGUCUGCAACUCGACUUCAUGAAGGCGGAAUCGCUAGUAACCGCGAAUCAGCAGGUCGCGGUGAAUACGUUCCCGGGCCUU